Molecule: non-coding RNA, 91 nt
Filed under: Tropicimonas sediminicola
Lineage: Bacteria; Pseudomonadati; Pseudomonadota; Alphaproteobacteria; Rhodobacterales; Roseobacteraceae
Description: Glycine sequence
Rfam family: Glycine riboswitch aptamer
About the family: This family represents the bacterial glycine riboswitch. Glycine riboswitches usually consist of two metabolite-binding aptamers domains with similar structures in tandem.
Source: Rfam by way of RNAcentral
AAACCCCGCGUCGGGAGAAUCCGGUCACUGACCGGUGCCGAAGGAGCAACCGCCCCGGUAAACUCUCAGGCUCAAGGACCGCACGGGGACA